AUACGGAGGGAGCAAGCGUUAUUCGGAAUCACUGGGCGUAAAGGACGCGUAGGCGGGUUUGUAAGUCAGGUGUGAAAUCCUACAGCUCAACUGUAGAACUGCACUUGAAACUACAGACCUAGAGUAUGGAAGGGGCAGAUGGAAUUAGUGGUGUAGGGGUAAAAUCCGUAGAUAUCACUAGGAAUACCGAAAGCGAAGGCGAUCUGCUGGGACAUUACUGACGCUGAGGCGUGGAAGCGUGGGGAGCAAACAGGAUUAGAUACCCGGGUAGUCC
This 274-nucleotide ribosomal RNA is filed under the name uncultured bacterium. RNAcentral's name for it is "partial 16S ribosomal RNA". It matches the Rfam family "Bacterial small subunit ribosomal RNA", at positions 523 to 796 of the family's 1533-position model. The record is from RNAcentral.